AUGAACGCUGGCGGCGUGCCUAAUACAUGCAAGUCGAGCGAACAGACGAGGAGCUUGCUCCUCUGACGUUAGCGGCGGACGGGUGAGUAACACGUGGAUAACCUACCUAUAAGACUGGGAUAACUUCGGGAAACCGGAGCUAAUACCGGAUAAUAUAUUGAACCGCAUGGUUCAAUAGUGAAAGACGGUUUUGCUGUCACUUAUAGAUGGAUCCGCGCCGCAUUAGCUAGUUGGUAAGGUAACGGCUUACCAAGGCAACGAUGCGGAGCCGACCUGAGAGGGUGAACGGCCACACUGGGACUGAGACACGGUCCAGACACCUACGGGAGGCAGCAGUAGGGACUCUUGCGAGAUGGGCGAAAGCCUGAAGGAGCAACGCCGCGUGAGUGAUGAAGGUCUGCGGGUCGUAAAACUCUGUUAUUAGGGAAGAACAAAUGUGUAAGUAACUAUGCACGUCUUGACGGUACCUAAUCAGAAAGCCACGGCUAACUACGUG
This 496-nucleotide ribosomal RNA is filed under the name uncultured bacterium. RNAcentral's name for it is "partial 16S ribosomal RNA". It matches the Rfam family "Bacterial small subunit ribosomal RNA", at positions 29 to 507 of the family's 1533-position model. The record is from RNAcentral.